GAUGAAGAACGUAGCGAAAUGCGAUAAGUAGUGUGAAUUGCAGAAUUCAGUGAAUCAUCGAAUCUUUGAACGCACAUUGCGCCCUUUGGUAUUGCUUAGGGCAUGCCUGUUCGAGCGUCAUUUAAACCUUCAAGCUCAGCUUGGUGAUGGGUGACUGUCCUCCCCUCGCGGGGGGACUCGCCUCAAAAACAUUGGCGGCCGGUACAUUGGCUUCGAGCGCAGCAGAAACGCGGUCUCGAGCCCGGUGGAUCGGCUCCCAUAAGUCUAUUCUUUUAUUUUGACCUCGGAUCAGGUAGGGAUACCCGCUGAACUUAAGCAUAUCAAUAAGCGGAGGA
Molecule: unclassified non-coding RNA, 335 nt
Filed under: soil metagenome
Description: partial contains 5.8S ribosomal RNA, internal transcribed spacer 2, and large subunit ribosomal RNA
Rfam family: 5.8S ribosomal RNA (bases 1-120)
Source: RNAcentral